Molecule: ribosomal RNA, 515 nt
Filed under: uncultured soil bacterium
Lineage: Bacteria
Description: bacterial SSU rRNA
Rfam family: Bacterial small subunit ribosomal RNA
Source: RNAcentral
AGAAUGAACGCUGGCGGCGUGCUUUACACAUGCAAGUUGAGCGAGGCCACCCGCAAGGGUGAGUCGAGCGGCGAACGGGUGAGUAACGCGUGGAUAACCUGCCCUUUAGUGGGGAAUAACCCGGGGAAACUCGGGCUAAUACCGCAUAAGACCGAGAGGUGAAAGCGGGGUCGCAAGAUCUCGUGCUAAUGGAGGGGUCCGCGUUCGAUUAGCUAGUUGGUAGGGUAAUGGCCUACCAAGGCGACGAUCGAUAGCCGGCCUGAGAGGGUGAUCGGCCACACUGGAACUGAGACACGGUCCAGACUCCUACGGAGGCAGCAGUGGGAAUUUGCGCAAUGGGCUAACGCCUGACGCAGCAACGCCGCGUGGAGAUGAAGGUCUUGGAUUGUAAACUCUGUCAGCAGGAAAAGGACUGGACUAAUACGUCUGGACUUGAUUGUACCUGCAGAGGUAACGCCCGUCUAACUCUCGCCGCCAAGCCGAACGCCGACGGUAACUCGUAGAACGCCGGCGUA